Molecule: ribosomal RNA, 836 nt
Filed under: Bacillus sp. EC39
Lineage: Bacteria; Bacillati; Bacillota; Bacilli; Caryophanales; Bacillaceae
Description: bacterial SSU rRNA
Rfam family: Bacterial small subunit ribosomal RNA
Source: RNAcentral
CUAUAAUGCAAGUCGAGCGAACAGAAGGGAGCUUGCUCCCGGAUGUUAGCGGCGGACGGGUGAGUAACACGUGGGUAACCUGCCUGUAAGACUGGGAUAACUCCGGGAAACCGGAGCUAAUACCGGAUAGUUCCUUGAACCGCAUGGUUCAAGGAUGAAAGACGGUUUCGGCUGUCACUUACAGAUGGACCCGCGGCGCAUUAGCUAGUUGGUGGGGUAAUGGCUCACCAAGGCGACGAUGCGUAGCCGACCUGAGAGGGUGAUCGGCCACACUGGGACUGAGACACGGCCCAGACUCCUACGGGAGGCAGCAGUAGGGAAUCUUCCGCAAUGGACGAAAGUCUGACGGAGCAACGCCGCGUGAGUGAUGAAGGUUUUCGGAUCGUAAAGCUCUGUUGUUAGGGAAGAACAAGUGCGAGAGUAACUGCUCGCACCUUGACGGUACCUAACCAGAAAGCCACGGCUAACUACGUGCCAGCAGCCGCGGUAAUACGUAGGUGGCAAGCGUUGUCCGGAAUUAUUGGGCGUAAAGGGCUCGCAGGCGGUUUCUUAAGUCUGAUGUGAAAGCCCCCGGCUCAACCGGGGAGGGUCAUUGGAAACUGGGAAACUUGAGUGCAGAAGAGGAGAGUGGAAUUCCACGUGUAGCGGUGAAAUGCGUAGAGAUGUGGAGGAACACCAGUGGCGAAGGCGACUCUCUGGUCUGUAACUGACGCUGAGGAGCGAAAGCGUGGGGAGCGAACAGGAUUAGAUACCCUGGUAGUCCACGCCGUAAACGAUGAGUGCUAAGUGUUAGGGGGUUUCCGCCCCUUAGUGCUGCAGCUAACGCAUUAAGCACU